GACGAACGCUGGCGGCGUGCUUAACACAUGCAAGUCGAACGGAAAGGCCCUGCUUUUGUGGGGUGCUCGAGUGGCGAACGGGUGAGUAACACGUGAGUAACCUGCCCUUGACUUUGGGAUAACUUCAGGAAACUGGGGCUAAUACCGGAUAGGAGCUCCUGCUGCAUGGUGGGGGUUGGAAAGUUUCGGCGGUUGGGGAUGGACUCGCGGCUUAUCAGCUUGUUGGUGGGGUAGUGGCUUACCAAGGCUUUGACGGGUAGCCGGCCUGAGAGGGUGACCGGCCACAUUGUGACUGAGAUACGGCCCAGACUCCUACGGGAGGCAGCAGUGGGGAAUAGUGCACAAUGGGCGGAAGCCUGAUGCAGCAACUCCGCGUGCGGGAUGACGGCCUUCGGGUUGUAAACCGCUUUCGCCUGUGACGAAGCGUGAGUGACGGUAAUGGGUAAAGAAGCACCGGCUAACUACGUG
This 468-nucleotide ribosomal RNA is filed under the name uncultured bacterium. RNAcentral describes it as "partial 16S ribosomal RNA". It matches the Rfam family "Bacterial small subunit ribosomal RNA", at positions 28 to 507 of the family's 1533-position model. The record is from RNAcentral.